UGGGCAAUCUGCCCUUCACUCUGGGACAAGCCCUGGAAACGGGGUCUAAUACCGGAUAUGACCUCUCAUCGCAUGGUGAGGGGUGGAAAGUUUUUCGGCUAGAGAUGGGCCCGCGGCCUAUCAGCUUGUUGGUGGGGUAAUGGCCCACCAAGGCGACGACGGGUAGCCGGCCUGAGAGGGUGACCGGCCACACUGGGACUGAGACACGGCCCAGACCUCCGUACGGGAGGCAG
Molecule: ribosomal RNA, 233 nt
Filed under: uncultured bacterium
Lineage: Bacteria
Description: partial 16S ribosomal RNA
Rfam family: Bacterial small subunit ribosomal RNA
Source: RNAcentral